This 331-nucleotide ribosomal RNA is filed under the name uncultured Verrucomicrobiota bacterium. Its description in RNAcentral is "bacterial SSU rRNA". It matches the Rfam family "Bacterial small subunit ribosomal RNA", at positions 29 to 351 of the family's 1533-position model. Lineage: Bacteria; Pseudomonadati; Verrucomicrobiota. The record is from RNAcentral.
AACGAACGCUGGCGGCGUGGAUAAGACAUGCAAGUCGAACGGGACCAAAUUAGUAGCAAUACCGGUUUGGUUCAGUGGCGCACGGGUGCGUAACACGUGAGCAAUCUGCCGGGAAGUGGGGGAUAGCUCGCCGAAAGGCGAAUUAAUACCGCAUGUGGCUAUCUUUUGAUUAAUGGAAAAGCCAAAGCAGCAAUGCGCUUCCUGAUGAGCUCGCGGCCUAUCAGCUAGAUGGCGGGGUAAAAGCCCACCAUGGCGAUGACGGGUAGCUGGUCUGAGAGGACGACCAGCCACACUGGAACUGAGAUACGGUCCAGACACCUACGGGUGGCUG